RNAcentral lists this ribosomal RNA (437 nucleotides) under uncultured soil bacterium. RNAcentral's name for it is "bacterial SSU rRNA". It matches the Rfam family "Bacterial small subunit ribosomal RNA", at positions 26 to 443 of the family's 1533-position model. The record is from RNAcentral.
AGGACGAACGCUGGCGGCGUGCUUAACACAUGCAAGUCGAACGAUGAAAGAGGAGCUUGCUCCUCUGGAUUAGUGGCGAACGGGUGAGUAACACGUGAGCAAUGUGCCCUUGACUCUGGAAUAAGCGCUGGAAACGGCGUCUAAUACCGGAUACGACCUUCGGAGGCAUCUCCUGGAGGUGGAAAGAAUUUCGGUCAAGGAUCAGCUCACGGCCUAUCAGUUAGUUGGUGAGGUAAUGGCUCACCAAGACGACGCGGGUAGCCGGCCUGAGAGGGUGACCGGCCACACGUGGGACUGAGACGACGGCCCAGACUCCGUACGGGGGGCAGGCAGGUGGGAAUAGUUAGCUAACGAAGUGGGCGACGAAGGCCUUGAUCGCAGCAACGGCCGCGUAGGACGGACGACGGCCGUUCGGGUUACGUAACCUCGUUUAGACG